UACGUAGGGGGCAAGCGUUGUCCGGAAUCAUUGGGCGUAAAGAGCGUGUAGGCGGCCCGGUAAGUCUGUUGUGAAAGUCCAGGGCUCAACCCUGGAAAGCCGAUGGAUACUGCCGGGCUAGAGUUCGGAAGAGGCGAGUGGAAUUCCUGGUGUAGCGGUGGAAUGCGCAGAUAUCAGGAGGAACACCUAUAGCGAAGGCAGCUCGCUGGGACGACACUGACGCUGAGACGCGAAAGCGUGAGGAGCGAACAGG
This 253-nucleotide ribosomal RNA is filed under the name uncultured bacterium. Its description in RNAcentral is "partial 16S ribosomal RNA". It matches the Rfam family "Bacterial small subunit ribosomal RNA", at positions 524 to 776 of the family's 1533-position model. The record is from RNAcentral.